AACCAAUGGUGAGGGAACCUUCUUAAUAAAUCCUUGCACAUCUCCCAUACAUCAUAUAGAGUCUCUAAAUUGAUUUGAACAAAGGAAGAGAUAUCAUUCCUCAACUU
Molecule: non-coding RNA, 107 nt
Organism: Gossypium arboreum
Lineage: Eukaryota; Viridiplantae; Streptophyta; Magnoliopsida; Malvales; Malvaceae
Source: Rfam